This is a long non-coding RNA of Gopherus flavomarginatus (Mexican gopher tortoise), 7277 nucleotides long. RefSeq lists it as uncharacterized. The record is from RefSeq and is a predicted model, not a curated record. Lineage: Eukaryota; Metazoa; Chordata; Testudines; Testudinidae. The transcript has 5 exons.
UAUUUAGCUGAAAAAUUCCAGACCCAGCUGCACUUAAGUAAAUUUUUUUUUUUUUUAAAGAAAGGAAGGAGGGAAAACAGUUGCUCAUUUCCAUUCACCAGUUCAGUCACCAGUAUAAUUGUUAAAGUUUUUUCAGUCUCACUCUUCGCACUAUUCUUUGCAGCCUCCAGGAAGCUGCUGUCAAAAAAGAUUCAAUCUCCCCUCACAUCCAUACAUAAAUAACUUUCAAAGAAAUUGGGUAACUGGAACAGUAUCACCUAUGAAUUUAAGCCUAAUAUUACUCAUUCUUAAAACAAUUAAUUUUUCAGAAAGGCUGGAAGGUACUUUUAAAGUGUAGUUGUACUUGGAAAUAGUUGAAGUGGCAUCAUGAGGGUCCACGUUAGCUGAAGUUAUUUUAAUAUCAAAUUUAUUCACGUUUAUUUCUUUAUAAGCUACCAAACGGAGAUAUUACUAUCAAGUUAGUCUUUUUCUCAUUGUCACCUGUAAGUUUCUGCAUGCCAAAUUCUGCCUUUACUUAUACCUGUGCAACCGGUUACACCUGUGCAAUUCCACUAUGUUCACUGGUAUUACACAGGUGUAAGUGAAGGGACAAUUUGGACUGCAAAUGAAUGCGUGUAAUGUGACAUUUUUGUUCCUUCCUUGCAAGCUGCUAGUUUUCUACCAGUAUAUACCUAAUCCAGCUCAUAGCUGUUCUCUCGAAUCUUCUAGAGAAUUGCUUUUGUGACACCGAUUUCCAAUCUAUAAAGGCAACAGGUACCUCAACAUACUCCCGGUAGAUACUUCAAAACCUUAAGCAAAACAUAUCCACAUUUAACAAUAAGAGCCCAGCAACAGCAGUCAAUAACUUCAAGGAGAGAAUAAAAUAAUUGCUGGACUGGGUAGAUGAUUAAUUUAUAGUGAAAGGAAUUGUUCCAUUCUCCUACUAUCAUCAAUCCACCAGUCCUGGCCCAACUGGAAAUUAAACAGUAAGGAAAAGAAUACAGGAACAAGAAAAGGGUCAUCUUGCAGGACCCAGUAACAAAAAGCAGCAUCCAACAAGGUUACAAUAUCAGUUUUGUAAUGCUUAGUAAAAACAGCAGAAACAACCAGGUCACAGCUAUGAAACGCUUGUAAGAUGCUGUUUCUGACGCUAUCAUGGGUAUAGUUGGUUGUGCUCUUGAAGUAGAAGUUCUUCUGCUGAUUGUGAGACCCAAACAAUAGCAGAACAAACUCAUCUUGCUAUAUUGGUCUUGAUGCUUUGAGGCUUUUCAUGAUCUCCAUAAAAAAUGAAAAGGCAAUUCUAUCUGCAGAAAGAAUUUUGUUUUGUCCAGAUAGCACUUUUUAGCAUUCUUAAAAUCCAGAAGAUGACGGUGAAGAUCCAAAGGGCAACAUGGAUAACUGGAACAUAAGCCUUUGCGAACCCAAUACCCUUGGGGGCUGGGGGAGGAAUGCGACAACAACAACCUGCAAUACCUUGACAAAAGCUUUUUUAAAAAUAAUAUUUUUAGGGUUAAUGCCAAAAGGGGGCAAACUAGGCUGCAAGUGCAGAACAAUACAGUGGUAAAUCUUAGUUUUAGAGUCUCAUCCAGAUUUCAGGAUAAUUCUCCCAGAUCCCUUGAGUAGGCAAGAGUCCAGAAAGUUCAGCUUCUUGGGGUGGGAUAUUCUAAUCUAAAGUGCUCAGUACUAGCUUAAAAUCUGCAUGGACUUCAAUGGAAGCAGAGUUAAGCUAAUACAGAGUGCUUUGGAAAAUACCACCCUUCGUCUCCAGGUUUGGGUGCCUGAAUAAGCCCAAGACAGAGAUCUCUGGUUACUGGGCAGCUUUAAGAGAUCUUGCCUUGACAUAUAAAAGCCAAAACCUAGAGUUCAGUAGAAAAGCCCAGUUCAGGCCAGUUUUCAUGGCAACUUUGGCUAAUGAUUGAUGGCAUGAAGGCACAGAACUUCCCACUUGAAGGAAAAGGUGUCCAUCUUCCAAGCAGACUUCUGUCAGUGCUGGGAGUAGAAACAAGAACAUAAUUGUUGUAGAAAAAGUUCCAUCUUGGGGACCCCAGAGGUGGGGAGAAAGGUAUGUAAAACAUGUUGGUUUAACUUAAUUACUAUUCUUUGGCACGGGCACUUAUUGAGUCAUCCAUGCACAUAACUAUCUGCUUCUUAUGACGGCCUUUCAAUACAAGACAUAAUCCUGAUCACCUCUAUAUAAAGAGGAACUCCAAAGUGCCCCCACAUCUGGCAACACUGCUUAGGGUCAUUCUGUUGCCACAAUUUGUAAGAAUUUAUAGAUUCUAGGGAAAGAGUAAAUUUCUUCAACACAUACCAGAUAAACCCAAAUUCUAGUUAACUGAUCCCCCAAUGACCAUUUUCCUGGGAACACUUUGGUCAGCACAUCAGGGAGCAUAGGUGGGUACACCAGCUUCGAAGCUUGCUGCUUUGGAGAUCCUGAUGUCUCAGUUCCAAGAGUGGGUUCCCUUGCAACAAGUUGUUUGGGGAAGUAAAUCAUUGAGGAAUAAACUAUUUCUGCUGAAAUGGGAGACAACAGUAGAAAUUAUUUUCUUAUUGGUCUCAUAACAAGAGCAUUGAUUGAUGGAUCCUGUUGCCAUCAGGCAUGGGUAGAAGGAGAACUGAAGAGAUGAAGGGAACAAUGCCCAGUAGAGAACAGGCCUACUAAUGAGUCUGAAGUAGAGAGUAAGCAUCCACAAUGUAUAUGCAAUGUACAGGGACUGUGCUGAUACACUCUAUGUCUAUACAUGCUGGGAUGCUGGCUCCAAGAAACUUUUAUAAAGCUGCUACCAUAAGAGCAGCUGUGGGCUGUACCUCCCUGCAGUUGGUGGAUUGGGUACAGUAUGAGAACAAUUCCACUGAUGUCUGGGAAGAAACACAAUUCCACUCACUACUGCAUGCUGUGUGUUGGUUCUGCAGGGCAAAUAGAAGUUAAAACAAAAAAUUAUUCUUUUGACCAAAGCAAGCAGAUCUUACUUUGAAUACUCACAUGGAGCACCUCAGCAGAGAACGUACUGUUUUUACAUAAUCACCUUUCAGAGCAGAAUCAUAUUUUAAGUCACAAAUCCAUCAGUGGUCACAAAACAAAUCCUUUGCUUAUUUUGCUGACAGUCUACUUCCAUGCUCUUUUAAUAUCCUAAAUAGAACACUUAAAAAAAAAAAAUAGUAGUAAUUGAGUCUUCAGCCCUCUCUCUGUGAUCUCCCUUGGAGAAAGUUUUCUUUCCCCUUUUGAUGCCCUACAUGACUUCAUAAGUAAUCCACAGCCUCAACUUCAAACAAUUAUAUUCUCCUGUUCAUUUUCAUACCAAAUCUUUUGCUUUUUAAAAGAAUUGUUAAGAAAAAAAGGAAUAUCUUUAAUUACACGAUUAUAUUCAUCACAACAUUCUCAACUUCAGCAGUCCCUUCAACUUGUGAACCAGUAAGAACAGAUAUGGUAUCUUAGUUCAGUAUUUUCAACGAUGAUCUCUUUGUUAACAUGGACAAUUCUAAAGGAGUGAAAGUAUUACUGAGAGUUUUUGGUUUUGAUUUUCUGCACUUUCUUCAUUAAUCUAAGGGAGAGCUGUACGAUGGAAUAGGGCUAUCAUGAGACUGACAGCUGUGGGUAGUUUGCAAUAUUCUGCACUUACACAGCCCUGUUCAACUGAAGAUCUCAUAAUGCUUUAUAAAUAUAAGACCUUACCACCAGUAAAAGAAAGGUAUCAAGAGUGUAAGUUGUAUACAUCUCUGUGAUGUAAAGAUGAGAAAAUGUUUGGCAAUAUGAAAAGCUGUUUAACAACAGGUUAUAAUUUGGAAAGUGAGGUAGGUACAAGUGAGUUAGUUUAAUUGCAAUUGUUUUGAGAAGUGGUUUUUGGAAACAGCAUGGCUGGAAUUUAUUUAUUCAACCACAGAAGUAAUGCGCUUGUUAUUUCAAACUAUAUUUAUGACUGUAAGAUAUACAGCAAAACCUCAACUGUUAGUCAGUGAAAACAUGGGUAUGCAAGGUGAUCAUGUUUCAAGAAUGUGAAAUGUGAAAACUAACUUAAAACAAAACUUAUGUUAAUUCAGUACAGAAAGAGUAUAUGAACCCCAGCACACGGAUUUAGUGAAUAUGCGAGGGGCUUCUGACAGGCCAAAAGACAACACUAUGAAUAGGUAAUAGGAACCAUAGACCAUGAAUCUGAGAAACACUUGGUGGUUCUGGUGAACUGCCAUGUGAAAAUAUGUGUCUUCUAAGUCAAAAAUAGCAUACCAGACCCUGGUAUCUAAGGAAGGGAUAACAGAUGCUAGAGUAACCAUCUGGAAUUUUGUUUUCCUUAGGAACUCGUUUAGCUCCCUUAGAUCUAAAAUAGUCCAAAGAUCCCCCUUUGCCUUUGGGAUUAACAAGCCUCUGAAUGACAUGGGAAACUUCCUGUAUGUCCCCCAUGAGGAGAGACUGGACCUCCUGAAUGCUCUCAUGAGAGUGGUCCAUGAAGAGGGAUGUAGAAGGGGGGAAUUGAAAUAAAUUGAAGGGUGUAUCACAGUUCCACUGUGUUUAGGACCCACUGAUUUGUGGUGAUGACCACAGUGUCAUUGGAACUGGGGAGACUGGCUCCGAGUCUGGAGAUGGGGAUACCAGUGAGAUCAUUGCUGGCUUCCUCCUGGAUGGAACCCUACAGAGAGGUGCAGCAACUGUAGCAGCCCCCAGUAUUGAAUGGUUUGGGGUGAAGCUGGGACUGUAGGAGUGGGCAAUUCCAAUCCUGGUACCAGACAGGAGUCCUAAACUAUGUGGGAAGACAGCAUUGGCAAGUUCAAUGAUUCUCAAGCUACCUCAGAAGCCUCAGCUGUAGAUGGUACUGGAAAGGUCUCCUGACUGUGGUAUCAAAAGGUACGCCAACACUUGAGGGAUGGGUCUCAAUGGACCCUUCCUCGGCUCCAGAGUCAGCAAUCCUUGCUGGCUUACGGAGAGUGUCUGGUGGUGCCUCUUUGUCACAUCUCUGAAUCCAUGCUUCCACUCGGUGCCUUAACUGCCAAUCUUGAAGGCUUUGGUAUUGAGUCUUUGGGAGACUUACGUUGUCUCUUCUACUUUGUCUCUUAGGAACUGGUGAUAAGGAUCUGUCUCUGGACCCAGUCAGAUCAGAGGACCAAUUGGCCGUGCUAGGUACCUGUUCCGAGUGGGAAGGUUCCAAUGGUGGGAGAUGCACAGACUCCAUAAGCAGCCUUGAUGUUAGCUCAUCUCUGGAAACAGCAUGCAUUAAUUUGACUACUACAGUCAGAAGAUGCACAAGGGCACAACACACAGGAGAAUCCAUCCGCAACAUACAGGAUUCUGAAGUCUAUCCACCUUCAAGAUCACCAUCAUUUUCUACAGUGUCAGAGUUAUCUGCCAAUGAUAGUGUGUCAGUCACAUCAUGUAUGUCACAUAGCCACAGUAUAUCACCUGUAGCAAAAAGAAAAAUCUCCAUCAUCCAGAAACAACCAUAAAUAAGUUUGUGAUAAGAACCAGCAGAUAAAAAAAAGAGGUAAUUGAUGGAGAGAAAUUGAGCAGUGUGCAAAAGGUCUAGAGUGUGAAAUUGUUAACCCGAGUCUUGAUGGGUGGACCAAUGUCCACAAUGAUCCUGUUGUAUGUACUUGUGUAACAACAGAAGAAGAGAAUGUCUUCCUUACAGAAACAAUUGAUACAUCAGGAAACGCACACACAGCAGAAUACUUACAAGUGGCAGAAAUAAAAGCUAUAACAAACUGAAAAAAAAUUCAAAUGUCUAGUACGCAGCUUGAUCACAGACAAUGCUGAAAAUGUAUCCAACAUGAGAAGAAGUUUAGGAGUCCCAAGCUAACAACAUACAGUUGCAGUGCUCAUUUGAUGCACCUCCUAGCCAAAGACUUCAGGGUUCCAGAAAUAAAGGCUAAUGCUGUUGAAAUUCCAAAAUACUUCCAUAACCACUUUGCAGCAGCUGCUCUGAAAAAAGUGGGAGGAACCAAGCUAACUUUCCCACAAGAUAUGCAAUGGAACUCAGUAAUGGACUGUUUUGAGCACUAUAUCAAGAACUGGCCUAAUCUGACAGUUUGUGAUCAUGAAAAAACAUAGAUGGCAAAGUCACAGCCAAAGUUCUCAACAUUGGGCUUAAGAGAAACGUUGAACACAUGCUGAAUACCCCGAAGCCUAUUUCUGUAGCCUUGAGCAAAAUGCAAGAAAACAGCUGUUUUAUUGCUGAUGCUGUUGAAAUUUGGAAGAAACCGAGUGAGAUCUUAAAAAGAGAAAUAUGCAAUGAUGGAGUUAAAUUACAAGCAUUAAAGAAACGAACGGGACAAGCAUUAUCUCUAGCUCAUUUUCUUGCAAAUAUUCUCAAUACUCGGUACCAGGGUCAAACCUUAACUGCUGAAGAAAAAGGAGUUGGUGGCUAUGACAUGGACAUUGAGCAAUCAUCCCUCCAUAAUGCCAACUAUAAUAAACUUCAGCACUAAGGGUAAACCAUUCAUGAUGCAAGUCACUUAAGCACUUGGAUUCAGAGACUGUUGACGUGAUAAUCUCACUUUUAACAGCAGUAGCUUCUUCUGCUGGUGUAGAAAGAAUAUUUUCUCUUUGGACUAAUUCAUUCCAAAUUGAGAGAUCAUUUGGGACCUGAAAAAGCAGAAAACUAGAGAACAUGACCUACGAAGGAAGGCUGAAACAAUUGGGUUUGUUUAGUUUGGAAAAGAAGACUGAGAGGGGACAUGAUAGCAGUUUUUAGGAAAAACAAACUACAUUUUUGAGGAGGAGGGAAAAGCUCCAAAGACGUGCAAGGAAUAGAAGUGGUUGAUCCUGAGGAUCCUCUUCAGUCUCAAGUUGGAAGAGGAGAAUAAAACAGAAAAGGAAGACUAGAAUAUGGCGAUAUUAAUUUUAGGAGAGGUCAAAGGUAUCCUCAAGAGAGCUGAAUACCAUAUUAUAGGAAGACAUGGAAGGAAAGGAAGAACUAGAAGAACAGAACCGCUCCGCCCCUUCCCCCCCCAGUAUUAUUAGCAUGUACUGAAAGCCACAAAAACAAGGGAAGGGGCAAUUUCAGCAUAUCACUAAUUUUAAUACUGUACUGUAGGUUUACUAAAGUGCUGAAACCACCUAAAGGGUCCUUCAACACACAUUAUGGGGUGGUGGGACUCACCUUAUUCAUAUGAGUCCUUCAAUUACUAUUUCUGUAUUCAUGUACUUUAACAAUGUCUAGUUCCCUGGGCUCAGUGGAGAUAAACUACACUUAUAUUUACACUUCAUACAGUGUAUGGAGAAUAGAGGAAAGUGAACAAACUUUAAAUAUGGAGCAACGGUUCUAAAAUACUUGGUAACAUUCUGCAGUAUCAAAUGCAAAAGACUUGAA